Molecule: ribosomal RNA, 497 nt
Filed under: uncultured bacterium
Lineage: Bacteria
Description: partial 16S ribosomal RNA
Rfam family: Bacterial small subunit ribosomal RNA
Source: RNAcentral
GAUGAACGCUGGCGGCGUGCCUAAUACAUGCAAGUCGAGCGAACAGAUGAGGAGCUUGCUCCUCUGACGUUAGCGGCGGACGGGUGAGUAACACGUGGAUAACCUACCUAUAAGACUGGGAUAACUUCGGGAAACCGGAGCUAAUACCGGAUAAUAUAUUGAACCGCAUGGUUCAAUAGUGAAAGACGGUUUUGCUGUCACUUAUAGAUGGAUCCGCGCCGCAUUAGCUAGUUGGUAAGGUAACGGCUUACCAAGGCAACGAUGCGUAGCCGACCUGAGAGGGUGAUCCGCCACACUGGAACUGAGACCCGGUCCAGACUCCUACGGGAGGCAGCAGUAGGGAAUCUUCCGCAAUGGGCGAAAGCCUGACGGAGCAACGCCGCGUGAGUGAUGAAGGUCUUCGGAUCGUAAAACUCUGUUAUUAGGGAAGAACAAAUGUGUAAGUAACUAUGCACGUCUUGACGGUACCUAAUCAGAAAGCCACGGCUAACUACGUG